RNAcentral lists this ribosomal RNA (458 nucleotides) under uncultured bacterium. Its description in RNAcentral is "bacterial SSU rRNA". It matches the Rfam family "Bacterial small subunit ribosomal RNA", at positions 29 to 506 of the family's 1533-position model. The record is from RNAcentral.
GUGAACGCUGGCGGCGUGUCUAACACAUGCAAGUCGAACGAUGAUAGAGAGCUUGCUCUCUUGAUUAGUGGCGCACGGGUGAGUAUACCAUAGAUAAUGUACCUCUUAGUUCGGGAUAGCCACUGGAAACGGUGAUUAAUACCGGAUACUCCUUCUUACUCUAAGGUAAGUCGGGAAAGUUUUUUCGCUAAGAGAUCAGUCUAUGUCCUAUCAGCUAGUUGGUGAGGCAAUGGCUCACCAAGGCUAUGACGGGUAUCUGGUUUGAGAGGCUGAUCAGACACACUGGAACUGCGACACGGUCCAGCCUCCUACGGGAGUCAGCAGUGAGGAAUAUUGCACAAUGGAGGAAACUCUGCUGCAGCAACGCUGCGUGGAGGAUGACGCAUUUCGGUGUGUAAACUCCUUUUAAGAGGGAAGAUAAUGACGGUACCUCUUGAAUAAGCACCGGCUAACUCCGU